RNAcentral lists this ribosomal RNA (254 nucleotides) under uncultured bacterium. RNAcentral's name for it is "partial 16S ribosomal RNA". It matches the Rfam family "Bacterial small subunit ribosomal RNA", at positions 524 to 776 of the family's 1533-position model. The record is from RNAcentral.
UACGAAGGGUGCAAGCGUUACUCGGAAUUACCGGGCGUAAAGCGUGCGUAGGUGGUUUGUUAAGUCUGAUGUGAAAGCCCUGGGCUCAACCUGGGAAUUGCAUUGGAUACUGGCAGGCUAGAGUGCGGUAGAGGAUGGCGGAAUUCCCGGUGUAGCAGUGAAAUGCGUAGAGAUCGGGGAGGAACAUCUGUGGCGAAGGCGGCCAUCUGGACCAGCACUGACACUGAGGCACGAAAGCGUGGGGAGCAAACAGG